This 254-nucleotide ribosomal RNA is filed under the name uncultured prokaryote. Its description in RNAcentral is "partial 16S ribosomal RNA". It matches the Rfam family "Bacterial small subunit ribosomal RNA", at positions 522 to 775 of the family's 1533-position model. The record is from RNAcentral.
AAUACGGAGGGUGCAAGCGUUGUUCGGAAUCAUUGGGCGUAAAGCGCGUGUAGGCGGCUUGGCAAGUCGGUUGUGAAAGCCCGGGGCCCAACCCCGGAAUUGCAUCUGAAACUGCCUCGCUAGAGUCCCGGAGAGGAAGGCAGAAUUCCCGGUGUAGGGGUGAAAUCCGUAGAUAUCGGGAGGAAUACCAGCGGCGAAGGCGGCCUUCUGGACGGUGACUGACGCUGAGACGCGAAAGCGUGGGGAGCAAACAG